RNAcentral lists this transfer RNA (68 nucleotides) under Phalantus geniculatus. Its description in RNAcentral is "tRNA-Asn". The record is from RNAcentral. Lineage: Eukaryota; Metazoa; Arthropoda; Insecta; Hemiptera; Reduviidae.
UUAGUAGAAGCCAAAAUUAGAGGCAUUUCAUUGUUAAUGAAAAUAAUGGAUAAUAUGUCCCUACUAAA